AGAGUUUGAUCCUGGCUCAGGACGAACGCUGGCGGUGUGCUUCAUAUAUGCAAGUCGUACGAAGAGGCCUUUCGGGGCACUUCAGUGGCGGACGGGUGAGUAAUACGUAGGUAACAUGCCUUAUAUUGGGGGAUAACAUCGGGAAACCGGUGCUAAUACCGCAUCAGCCAAAGGUUGAAAUACUUUUGGUUAAAGGAGUAAUCCGAUAUAAGAUUGGCCUGCGUCGGAUUAGCUAGUUGGUAGGGUAAAAGCCUACCAAGGCGACGAUCCGUAGUUGGUCUGAGAGGAUGACCAGCCACAGUGGGACUGAGACACGGCCCACACUCCUACGGGAGGCAGCAGUAGGGAAUAUUGCGCAAUGGGCGAAAGCCUGACGCAGCAACACCGUGUGAAGGAUGAAGCCUCUUGGGGUGUAAACUUCUGUCGGCAGGGAAGAAUAUUGACGGUACCUGCAAUGGAAGCAUCGGCUAACUACGUGCCAGCAGCCGCGGUAAGACGUAGGAUGCAAGCGUUGUCCGGAAUUAUUGGGCGUAAAGAGUUCGUAGGCGGUAGCCUAAGUCUGGUGUUAAAGGCCUGAGCUUAACUCGGGUAUGGCAUUGGAUACUGGGCUGCUAGAGUGUGGUAGAGGUAACGGGAAUUCCCGGUGUAGCGGUGAAAUGCGUAGAUAUCGGGAGGAACAUCAGCGGCGAAAGCGCGUUACUGGACCAUAACUGACGCUGAGGAACGAAAGCCAGGGGAGCCAAAGGGAUUAGAUACCCCUGUAGUCC
RNAcentral lists this ribosomal RNA (767 nucleotides) under uncultured bacterium. Its description in RNAcentral is "bacterial SSU rRNA". It matches the Rfam family "Bacterial small subunit ribosomal RNA", at positions 8 to 796 of the family's 1533-position model. The record is from RNAcentral.